GCAUAUCAAUUAAGCGGAGGAAAAAGAAACUAAACAAGGAUUUCCCUUAGUAACUGCGAGUGAAGCGGGAAAAGCUCAAAUUUAAAAUCUGGCGGUCUCCGGCCGUCCGAGUUGUAAUUUAGAGAAGCGUUAUCCGUGCUGGACCGUGUAUAAGUCUCCUGGAAUGGAGCGUCAUAGAGGGUGAGAAUCCCGUCUUUGACACGGACUACCAGUGCAUUGUGAUGCGCUCUCGACGAGUCGAGUUGUUUGGGAAUGCAGCUCAAAAUGGGUGGUAAAUGCCAUCUAAAGCUAAAUAUUGGCGAGAGACCGAUAGCGAACAAGUACCGUGAGGGAAAGAUGAAAAGAACUUUGGAAAGAGAGUUAAACAGUACGUGAAAUUGUCGAAAGGGAAACGGUUGCAGUCAGUCGCGUCCGCCGGGGAUCAACCUUGCUUUUGCUUGGCGUAUUUCCCGGUGGAUGGGUCAGCAUCAGUUUUGACCGCAGUUGAAAGGCUGGAGGAAUGUGGCACCUUCGGGUGUGUUAUAGCCUCCUGUCAUAUGCUGCGGUUGGGACUGAGGAACUCAGCACGCCGCAAGGCCGGGAUUCGUCCACGUUCGUGCUUAGGAUGCUGGCAUAAUGUCUGUAACCGACCCGUCUUGAAACACGGACCAAGGAGUCUAACAUGCACGCGAGUGUUUGGGUGGCAAACCCGAGCGCGUAAUGAAAGUGAAAGUUGAGACCUCUGUCGUGGAGGGCAUCGACGCCCGGACCAGAACUUUUGGGACGGAUCCGCGGUAGAGCGUGUAUGUUGGGACCCGAAAGAUGGUGAACUAUGCCUGAAUAGGGCGAAGCCAGAGGAAACUCUGGUGGAGGCUCGUAGCGAUUCUGACGUGCAAAUCGAUCGUCGAAUUUUGGGUAUAGGGGGCGAAAGACUAAUCGAACCAUCUAGUAGCUGGUUCUGCGA
RNAcentral lists this ribosomal RNA (943 nucleotides) under Schizophyllum commune. RNAcentral's name for it is "LSU rRNA". It matches the Rfam family "Eukaryotic large subunit ribosomal RNA", at positions 38 to 964 of the family's 3401-position model. The record is from RNAcentral. Lineage: Eukaryota; Fungi; Basidiomycota; Agaricomycetes; Agaricales; Schizophyllaceae.